Molecule: long non-coding RNA, 728 nt
Organism: Erigeron canadensis
Lineage: Eukaryota; Viridiplantae; Streptophyta; Magnoliopsida; Asterales; Asteraceae
Exons: 3
Source: RefSeq, a predicted model, not a curated record
UGGAAAGAAAAAAAGUCAUAAAAACCACCCACCAAUUUUACAAAUUUGUAGGUUUCUUUGUUUCAUCCCAUAAAAAGCAUCUCACCAAAAAGCCAUCUUAUCACUAUUUAUUUUUGAAUGGCGAUAAGCCAUGUUAUCACUUAUUUAUGGUUUUAGUUUAUUCUAAGUUUCUUACUCUUGUUUUCUAUGUCCAUUAUCUACCCUGUCAUGCAUCAUCAUGCCGGAGCUUUGCUAGUUAGAUUGUACUUUAGCUACAGUGACAUCCUCUCAGAAAUCAGUUAAAACCGAUGAAAACCCGUGGGUUUUUUAAAAGGAAAAAGUUUGGAUGAAUGAUGAGUUUGAGGGCAUUUGUAAAUCGCACUUUUCGUCUGCGACUAGGGACCGGAAAGUUGGCAGAUGACGGCCGGCAACAGGUAUUCGUCCGCGACAAACGAAGGAUUUUCGACGGCAUUUACAUCAUCGGAAAUAAUGCGUAAGAUAGAGCGAGACUCCCGUCUUCGAUUCCCGCCAAAGCUCGAUGAAAAUGGAAAUUGCAACGGGAUGACUCCGGAGGUCGAUGUCGACAUAUGCUGAUCUCGUUGUUGUUAUCAGUGGCUUAUGUUACCGGUGGUGGUUGUUAAGGUGGUGGCAGGUGGCUAAUGAAGAGUUGAUGGUUUAUGAAAAAUGAUGAAGAAGAAAAAGGGAAAAGAAUCUGCAAAGGACCAAAGAAAGAAAGAAAAAGACAAAAA